UCCGGUGGCGAUGCGCUUGGGGGAAACACCCGUUUCCAUCCCGAACACGACGGUUAAGACUCAAGCGGCCGAUGGUACUAUAUUGGAGACGAUAUGGGAGAGCAGGUGGCUGCCGGAU
Molecule: ribosomal RNA, 118 nt
Filed under: Clostridium sp. AM58-1XD
Lineage: Bacteria; Bacillati; Bacillota; Clostridia; Eubacteriales; Clostridiaceae
Source: RNAcentral